Molecule: long non-coding RNA, 715 nt
Organism: Gossypium arboreum
Lineage: Eukaryota; Viridiplantae; Streptophyta; Magnoliopsida; Malvales; Malvaceae
Exons: 2
Source: RefSeq, a predicted model, not a curated record
UUUUCUAUAAAAUUUUCUCCUACCUUAGCCGUUCUAUUGUCCUUUGUUUUUCCUUUUCCUCAAUUUUCCUUCAUUUCCCUUCACUGUGCCACCAUCAACCUUCUCUUUUUUCUGCCUAUCUUUCAUUCGUUGAAAGAGGAUUUUUACACGAUUUAGGAUUUUUACACGAUUUUCUUUGAAAGUAAGCCACUAAAGUCUCCCAAAGAUCACCAUUGCUGCUCCUUUGCUAUCCUUUGAGUUCUGAUUUAAAUGGCCCGAACUAGCAGUGAAGCUGUUAGUCGUUCGAGCACAUGUUUCGCAUCGAAUCAGUGUAAUUAGUCAAGUCAAUUUGUAUCUAAAAGUUAGUUGUUGUAAUACUGAUUUAAUUGAACCCUUUGAGGGUUUUUUAAGACUGAUUUAACAACACUUUAACUUGAUGAAUGUUGUAUUUUAAGUUUGGUUCAAUUUAUGUCUGAUGGAGGAAUCAUGAGUUUCACAAGUAGUGCUAGGUUGUGCGAAAUUAAGGUGUGGGUUCUAACCUAUAACCUUGAAUGUCUAAAUAACAUUUGUAGUUAUUAAAUUGAUGUUUAAGAUUGUUGUUUAGGCUUAGUUAAGUGGCUAAGUAAGUGAUUUUACGGUGGCCGAAUUAGUUACUUUGCAUGUUUGCAAAGUUGCAUGGUUGACUGUUUAUUUGCAUGACUGGUAUUGGUAUGAAAUAACAUGAAUGGUUUGAAUA